Molecule: ribosomal RNA, 476 nt
Filed under: Staphylococcus saprophyticus
Lineage: Bacteria; Bacillati; Bacillota; Bacilli; Caryophanales; Staphylococcaceae
Description: bacterial SSU rRNA
Rfam family: Bacterial small subunit ribosomal RNA
Source: RNAcentral
AGUUUGAUCCUGGCUCAGGAUGAACGCUGGCGGCGUGCCUAAUACAUGCAAGUCGAGCGAACGGAUAAGGAGCUUGCUCCUUUGAAGUUANCGGCGGACGGGUGAGUAACACGUGGGUAACCUACCUAUAAGACUGGGAUAACUUCGGGAAACCGGAGCUAAUACCGGAUAACAUUNAGAACCGCAUGGUUCUAAAGUGAAAGAUGGUUUUGCUAUCACUUAUAGAUGGACCCGCGCCGUAUUAGCUAGUUGGUAAGGUAACGGCUUACCAAGGCGACGAUACGUAGCCGACCUGAGAGGGUGAUCGGCCACACUGGAACUGAGACACGGUCCAGACUCCUACGGGAGGCAGCAGUAGGGAAUCUUCCGCAAUGGGCGAAAGCCUGACGGAGCAACGCCGCGUGAGUGAUGAAGGGUUUCGGCUCGUAAAUACUCUGUUAUUAGGGAAGAACAAAUGUGUAAGUAACUGUGCACAU